UAUAUACAGUCAGUGUUACACAGUUCAGUUAUAUACAGUCAGUGUUACAGUUCGUUAUAUACAGUCAGUGUUACACAGUUCAGUUAUAUACAGUCAGUGUUACAGUUCAGUUAUAUACAGUCAGUGUUAACACAGUUCAGUUAUAUACAGUCAGUGUUACACAGUUCAGUUGUAUACAGUCAGUGUUACAGUUCAGUUAUAUACAGUCAGUGUUACAGUUCAGUUAUAUACAGUCAGUGUUACAGUUCAGUUAUAUACAGUCAGUGUUACAGUUCAGUUGAAUACAGUCAGUGUUACAGUUCAGUUAUAUACAGUCAGUGUUACACAGUUCAGUUAUAUACAGUCAGUGUUACAGUUCAGUUAUAUACAGUCAGUGUUACACGGUUCAGUUAUAUACAGUCAGUGUUACAGUUCAGUUAUAUACAGUCAGUGUUACAGUUCAGUUGUAUACAGUCAGUGUUACAGUUCAGUUAUAUACAGUCAGUGUUACACAGUUCAGUUAUAUACAGUCAGUGUUACACAGUUCAGUUAUAUACAGUCAGUGUUACGGUUCAGUUGUAUACAGUCAGUGUUACGGUUCAGUUGUAUACAGUCAGUGUUACAGUUCAGUUAUAUACAGUCACUGUUACGGUUCAGUUGUAUACAGUCAGUGUUACGGUUCAGUUAUAUACAGUCAGUGUUACGGUUCAGUUAUAUACAGUCAGUGUUACAGUUCAGUUAUAUACAGUCAGUGUUACACAGUUCAGUUAUAUACAGUCAGUGUUACAGUUCAGUUAUAUACAGUCAGUGUUACGGUUCAGUUAUAUACAGUCAGUGUUACGGUUCAGUUAUAUACAGUCAGUGUUACACAGUUCAGUUAUAUACAGUCAGUGUUACAGUUCAGUUGUAUACAGUCAGUGUUACACAGUUCAGUUAUAUACAGUCAGUGUUACACAGUUCAGUUGUAUACAGUCAGUGUUACAGUUCAGUUGUAUACAGUCAGUGUUACAGUUCAGUUAUAUACAGUCAGUGUUACACAGUUCAGUUAUAUACAGUCAGUGUUACACAGUUCAGUUGUAUACAGUCAGUGUUACAGUUCAGUUGUAUACAGUCAGUGUUACAGUUCAGUUAUAUACAGUCAGUGUUACAGUUCAGUUAUAUACAGUCAGUGUUACAGUUCAGUUAUAUACAGUCAGUGUUACACAGUUCAGUUGUAUACAGUCAGUGUUACGGUUCAGUUAUAUACAGUCAGUGUUACACAGUUCAGUUAUAUACAGUCAGUGUUACAGUUCAGUUAUAUACAGUCAGUGUUACAGUUCAGUUAUAUACAGUCAGUGUUACACAGUUCAGUUAUAUACAGUCAGUGUUACACAGUUCAGUUAUAUACAGUCACUUCACAAUCACUCACGUAGUUGGUGA
RNAcentral lists this long non-coding RNA (1398 nucleotides) under Sparus aurata (gilthead seabream). RNAcentral's name for it is "lncRNA (ENSSAUG00010019217.1)". The record is from RNAcentral. Lineage: Eukaryota; Metazoa; Chordata; Actinopteri; Spariformes; Sparidae.